This is an RNA transcript of Formica exsecta, 1186 nucleotides long. It is a transcript of the gene named ribonuclease H2 subunit C-like, with no coding region annotated. The transcript has 4 exons. Lineage: Eukaryota; Metazoa; Arthropoda; Insecta; Hymenoptera; Formicidae. The record is from RefSeq and is a predicted model, not a curated record.
UUAUAUUAUUAUUAUUAUUAUAUUAUUAUAUUAUCUUUUAAUGUUAUUUUAAUAUUGACUUGGAAAUACUUGAUAUACCGAUCUUACAAUUGUAUGACAUGAUGUGAUAUGUGCUAUUAGAGUUUUUGGUUUGAACAGGAUAAAGGUUAUACAAACGCGACUUCCAUAUUUUUAUCAUAUUAAUAUUUUCCAAAAAAUUCACAUAUUAUCUCGCGUCAUAUUAAAUUAAUAUGGCUAUUCGUUUGCACAUUAACAAAGAAGAUUUAGCCAAGCAGGAGGAGUCUGAGUUACAUCUUAUGCCAUGUAAAAUUCACGGCGAUGAAGGCGCGAAUGUUUCCUCCUAUUUCAAGCCUUACAUUUGUAAGAUUAACGAAGAACAUUACGAUUGUUCGUUCCGUGGCUAUCCACUUCAAGGGAAGAAAGUAAUUGUACCUGCUGGAUACAAAGGCAUGACGUUUACAGAAAAUAAGAAGGCAGACGCUGAAAAUAAGAUCCGUAAUUUAUAUUGCACAGGAACGUUUUCACGAUUCACAUAUUGGAAUUACGAUAAAAUACCGUCUAAGAACGAUGCUCUUGUAGCAGCGUUGGAUUGGAUUGACAUAGCUGAAGCGUUACAUUCAUCAGAAACAUAGUUGUAAUACCAAAAGAGAAAAUACAAUUAUUUAAAAUUUAAAUGGAAAAUAUAAAAAAAGUAUCGUCUUGUUCGUGAUAAUAUAUUUUUAUACUUUGAUAGAAAAAAAAGAUAAUAAAGAUAAAUUCUUUUCUCUGUAUCUAAUAUAUACUUUUUACAGCAUCAUAAUUGCAUGAUCAUGCCACAAAUAAUGAGCAUAUGAUGUAGGCAUAAGAAUCCAUGACUGUAAAAUGCAUGAAGAAAGUGUAAAGAGAGAUAGUGGUGGUAUCAAUAUAAUCUAAUUAACAGCAAUGUUUAAAGAAACGGAAUUUCCUAUUUAGACAUUUGUGGACUUCUUUUUUUUUUAAAUAUAGUAAUACGAUAUGUGUGAAUGCAUUCUGCAGAUCUUUUUAAUAAUACUGAGGUAUAUGAGAUUUGUACAACUAAUUCAGAACUUUGUGUGUGAAUACCAUCAUAAAUUACAAAAAUUCUUACAUUCGUUCGUUCUCUUACAUUCUAAAUUAUAGUAAGUUUCUGUCUCGAUAUAACGCGAAAUAAUAAAUAAGAUAAAAUAUU